GAUGAACGCUGGCGGCGUGCUUAACACAUGCCAGUCGAACGAUGAAGCCCAGCUUGCUGGGUGGAUUAGUGGCGAACGGGUGAGUAACACGUGAGUAACCUGCCCUUGACUCUGGGAUAAGCCUGGGAAACUGGGUCUAAUACUGGAUAUGACUUCUCAUCGCAUGGUGGGGGGUGGAAAGAUUUAUUGGUCUUGGAUGGACUCGCGGCCUAUCAGCUUGUUGGUGAGGUAAUGGCUCACCAAGGCGACGACGGGUAGCCGGCCUGAGAGGGUGACCGGCCACACUGGGACUGGGACACGGCCCAGACUCCUAUGGGAGGCAGCAGUGGGGAAUAUUGCACAAUGGGCGCAAGCCUGAUGCAGCGACGCCGCGUGAGGGAUGACGGCCUUCGGGUUGUAAACCUCUUUCAGUAGGGAAGAAGCGAGAGUGACGGUACCUGCAGAAGAAGCGCCGGCUAACUACGUG
Molecule: ribosomal RNA, 466 nt
Filed under: uncultured bacterium
Lineage: Bacteria
Description: partial 16S ribosomal RNA
Rfam family: Bacterial small subunit ribosomal RNA
Source: RNAcentral